GACGAACGCUGGCGGCGUGCUUAACACAUGCAAGUCGAACGCGCCUGUCCUCUGGGUUUCUGGGGGGUGGGUGAGUGGCGAACGGGUGAGUAACACGUGAGUAACCUGCCCCCUUCUUCGGGAUAACGGUCUGAAAGGGCUGCUAAUACCGGGUAUUCACUGGUCUCCGCAUGGGGUCUGGGGGAAAGGUUUUUUUCUGGUGGGGGCUGGGCUCGCGGCCUAUCAGCUUGUUGGUGGGGUGAUGGCCCAACAAGGCUUUGACGGGUAGCCGGCCUGAGAGGCUGCGCGGUCACAUUGGGAUUGGCAGAAGGCCGCGACUCCUACCGGAGGCAGAGGUGUGGAAUAGUGCGCAAUAGGCGCACGCCUGAUGCCCCGACGCCGCGUGAGGGAUGGGGGCCUUCGGGUUGUGAACCGGUUUCGCCCGUGGACCAGCCGCGACGUGAGUCGUGGUGAGGGUAGUGGGUAAAGAAGCGCCGGCUAACUCCGUG
This 488-nucleotide ribosomal RNA is filed under the name uncultured bacterium. RNAcentral describes it as "partial 16S ribosomal RNA". It matches the Rfam family "Bacterial small subunit ribosomal RNA", at positions 28 to 507 of the family's 1533-position model. The record is from RNAcentral.